This 716-nucleotide long non-coding RNA is filed under the name Hordeum vulgare. RNAcentral describes it as "long non-coding RNA (HVUL_LNC003755)". Lineage: Eukaryota; Viridiplantae; Streptophyta; Magnoliopsida; Poales; Poaceae. The record is from RNAcentral.
UGUUUGUCUCCCAAGUUACAGGUAAAUACAAAGGGAGAAAGACACUACAUCUACCGCAUACAAAACACGAACCUACAUACAUGUACACAUGUUCAACAACAACGAUUCAUUUUUACAUCUUUUGUCUUGCCUCUUGUUUUACUCCGAACAUGUUAUCAGCACGAUCUGCGCAGAGCGUUUCUAAGGCAUCGCGCUCCUCGAAUCCUCCCUCUGGUCGACGGAGCCGUGCGAGGCAGCAUGUCCCGGUGAGGCGGUGAUGGAUAUCAUCGUAGUUGGGCAGCAACUCCGGCGGUUCCAAUCUUCACUUACACGCUCCAAGAAAAUCCUUGCGCUGGAUUGAUUGGCCUCGAGAAAGAGAGAAAUCGAAGGCAGAAGAACUGAUUACUACAUGAACGCGGUGCUAAUUUCCGAUUUUACUUUUGCAAACAACAAAAGCUAUCGUCAGGAACUAGUACCUUUGGCAUUCAGGGCUCCCUAGCCUCCCGGCCCAGUCUCCAUCGCGCGAGAGGCUCUGGUUACAGGUUGUGGCAGCGGUGCCCAGCCUGCAACGGUGGCGAUGCCCACGACGCAGCCAUGACCUUCGGCCUCUGGGAGAGACGAAAGUGCACACAGCGAGGGCAGUGCUACCGGCCACUGGCGCGGCCCCGACGCGGCUCUGCACAGGUGCCUGCACAAGUGGAUGCGCCGCCUCCGUGCGCCGCGCCCCGCGCCNNNNN